This 492-nucleotide ribosomal RNA is filed under the name uncultured bacterium. Its description in RNAcentral is "partial 16S ribosomal RNA". It matches the Rfam family "Bacterial small subunit ribosomal RNA", at positions 29 to 507 of the family's 1533-position model. The record is from RNAcentral.
AGUGAACGCUGGCGGUAGACCUAACACAUGCAAGUCGAACGGCAGCACAGUAAGAGCUUGCUCUUACGGGUGGCGAGUGGCGGACGGGUGAGGAAUACAUCGGAAUCUACUUUUUCGUGGGGGAUAACGUAGGGAAACUUACGCUAAUACCGCAUACGACCUACGGGUGAAAGCAGGGGAUCUUCGGACCUUGCGCGAUUGAAUGAGCCGAUGUCGGAUUAGCUAGUUGGCGGGGUAAAGGCCCACCAAGGCGACGAUCCGUAGCUGGUCUGAGAGGAUGAUCAGCCACACUGGAACUGAGACACGGUCCAGACUCCUACGGGAGGCAGCAGUGGGGAAUAUUGGACAAUGGGCGCAAGCCUGAUCCAGCCAUACCGCGUGGGUGAAGAAGGCCUUCGGGUUGUAAAGCCCUUUUGUUGGGAAAGAAAAGUAGCAGGUUAAUACCCCGCUGUUCUGACGGUACCCAAAGAAUAAGCACCGGCUAACUUCGUG